UACGGAGGGUGCAAGCGUUAAUCGGAAUUACUGGGCGUAAAGCGCGCGUAGGCGGUUUUGUAAGUCGGAUGUGAAAGCCCUGGGCUCAACCUGGGAAUUGCAUUCGAAACUGCAUGACUAGAGUAUAGUAGAGGGAAGUGGAAUUCCAGGUGUAGCGGUGAAAUGCGUAGAUAUCUGGAGGAACAUCAGUGGCGAAGGCGACUUCCUGGACUAAUACUGACGCUGAGGUGCGAAAGCGUGGGGAGCAAACAGG
Molecule: ribosomal RNA, 253 nt
Filed under: uncultured bacterium
Lineage: Bacteria
Description: partial 16S ribosomal RNA
Rfam family: Bacterial small subunit ribosomal RNA
Source: RNAcentral